UAUGGUGGGAGAAUGUAGGCCUGCAUGCCUUCAAAUGCCCUGUUCACCUCCUUGUUCCGAGUUAUGUUAGUGUUCUGUAUUGAUAGACGCUUUCAACGAAAUUACAUCGCUAGGCAACAGCCUGGCCCCUUGUUAACUUCCUGUCAGUUGAUGCCAUUCAUAUACAGUCAGGAAAUCAACUUGGGUCCAUUUAGA
Sander lucioperca (pikeperch) is the source of this 195-nucleotide long non-coding RNA. RefSeq lists it as uncharacterized. The record is from RefSeq and is a predicted model, not a curated record. NCBI's taxonomy places the organism in Eukaryota, Metazoa, Chordata, Actinopteri, Perciformes, Percidae. The transcript has 4 exons.